Molecule: ribosomal RNA, 519 nt
Filed under: uncultured bacterium
Lineage: Bacteria
Description: bacterial SSU rRNA
Rfam family: Bacterial small subunit ribosomal RNA
Source: RNAcentral
GAGUUUGAUCCUGGCUCAGGACGAACGCUGGCGGCGUGCUUAACACAUGCAAGUCGAGCGAGAAACCUUCGGGUUUCUAGCGGCGGACGGGUGAGUAACACGUGGGUAACCUACCUCAAAGAGGGGAAUAGCCUCCCGAAAGGGAGAUUAAUACCGCAUAAUAUCAUAGCUUCGCAUGAAGCAAUGAUUAAAGGAGUAAUCCGCUUUGAGAUGGACCCGCGGCGCAUUAGCUAGUUGGAGAGGUAACGGCUCACCAAGGCGACGAUGCGUAGCCGACCUGAGAGGGUGAUCGGCCACAUUGGAACUGAGACACGGUCCAGACUCCUACGGGAGGCAGCAGUGGGGAAUAUUGCACAAUGGGCGAAAGCCUGAUGCAGCAACGCCGCGUGAGUGAUGACGGUCUUCGGAUUGUAAAGCUCUGUCUUUUGGGACGAUAAUGACGGUACCAAAGGAGGAAGCCACGGCUAACUACGUGCCAGCAGCCGCGGUAAUACGUAGGUGGCAAGCGUUGUCCGGAUG